This 1371-nucleotide ribosomal RNA is filed under the name Escherichia coli. RNAcentral describes it as "partial 23S ribosomal RNA". It matches the Rfam family "Bacterial large subunit ribosomal RNA", at positions 1 to 1406 of the family's 2925-position model. Lineage: Bacteria; Pseudomonadati; Pseudomonadota; Gammaproteobacteria; Enterobacterales; Enterobacteriaceae. The record is from RNAcentral.
UUGUGAGGUUAAGCGACUAAGCGUACACGGUGGAUGCCCUGGCAGUCAGAGGCGAUGAAGGACGUGCUAAUCUGCGAUAAGCGUCGGUGAGGUGAUAUGAACCGUUAUAACCGGCGAUUUCCGAAUGGGGAAACCCAGUGUGUUUCGACACACUAUCAUUAACUGAAUCCAUAGGUUAAUGAGGCGAACCGGGGGAACUGAAACAUCUAAGUACCCCGAGGAAAAGAAAUCAACCGAGAUUCCCCCAGUAGCGGCGAGCGAACGGGGAGGAGCCCAGAGCCUGAAUCAGUGUGUGUGUUAGUGGAAGCGUCUGGAAAGGCGCGCGAUACAGGGUGACAGCCCCGUACACAAAAAUGCACAUAUUGUGAGCUCGAUGAGUAGGGCGGGACACGUGGUAUCCUGUCUGAAUAUGGGGGGACCAUCCUCCAAGGCUAAAUACUCCUGACUGACCGAUAGUGAACCAGUACCGUGAGGGAAAGGCGAAAAGAACCCCGGCGAGGGGAGUGAAAAAGAACCUGAAACCGUGUACGUACAAGCAGUGGGAGCCUCUUAAUGGGGUGACUGCGUACCUUUUGUAUAAUGGGUCAGCGACUUAUAUUCUGUAGCAAGGUUAACCGAAUAGGGGAGCCGAAGGGAAACCGAGUCUUAACUGGGCGUUAAGUUGCAGGGUAUAGACCCGAAACCCGGUGAUCUAGCCAUGGGCAGGUUGAAGGUUGGGUAACACUAACUGGAGGACCGAACCGACUAAUGUUGAAAAAUUAGCGGAUGACUUGUGGCUGGGGGUGAAAGGCCAAUCAAACCGGGAGAUAGCUGGUUCUCCCCGAAAGCUAUUUAGGUAGCGCCUCGUGAAUUCAUCUCCGGGGGUAGAGCACUGUUUCGGCAAGGGGGUCAUCCCGACUUACCAACCCGAUGCAAACUGCGAAUACCGGAGAAUGUUAUCACGGGAGACACACGGCGGGUGCUAACGUCCGUCGUGAAGAGGGAAACAACCCAGACCGCCAGCUAAGGUCCCAAAGUCAUGGUUAAGUGGGAAACGAUGUGGGAAGGCCCAGACAGCCAGGAUGUUGGCUUAGAAGCAGCCAUCAUUUAAAGAAAGCGUAAUAGCUCACUGGUCGAGUCGGCCUGCGCGGAAGAUGUAACGGGGCUAAACCAUGCACCGAAGCUGCGGCAGCGACGCUUAUGCGUUGUUGGGUAGGGGAGCGUUCUGUAAGCCUGUGAAGGUGUGCUGUGAGGCAUGCUGGAGGUAUCAGAAGUGCGAAUGCUGACAUAAGUAACGAUAAAGCGGGUGAAAAGCCCGCUCGCCGGAAGACCAAGGGUUCCUGUCCAACGUUAAUCGGGGCAGGGUGAGUCGACCCCUAAGGCGAGGCCGAA